RNAcentral lists this ribosomal RNA (253 nucleotides) under uncultured bacterium. RNAcentral describes it as "partial 16S ribosomal RNA". It matches the Rfam family "Bacterial small subunit ribosomal RNA", at positions 524 to 776 of the family's 1533-position model. The record is from RNAcentral.
GACAGAGGGUGCAAACGUUGCUCGGAAUCACUGGGCGUAAAGGGCGUGUAGGCGGGCAGGUAAGUCGGGCGUGAAAUCCCUGAGCUCAGCUCAGGAACUGCACUCGAAACUACUUGUCUUGAGUACCGGAGAGGAAAGCGGAAUACCUGGUGUAGAGGUGAAAUUCGUAGAUAUCAGGUGGAACACCAGUGGCGAAGGCGGCUUUCUGGACGGUAACUGACGCUGAGACGCGAAAGCGUGGGGAGCAAACAGG